UGAGAUUUCGCAGCCUGGUUUGGA
RNAcentral lists this non-coding RNA (24 nucleotides) under Arabidopsis thaliana (thale cress). Lineage: Eukaryota; Viridiplantae; Streptophyta; Magnoliopsida; Brassicales; Brassicaceae. The record is from RNAcentral.